This 1049-nucleotide long non-coding RNA is filed under the name Homo sapiens (human). Its description in RNAcentral is "HSALNT0307506". The record is from RNAcentral. Lineage: Eukaryota; Metazoa; Chordata; Mammalia; Primates; Hominidae.
GAAGAACCUAUGGGCACAAAAAGCAGGAACGAGUAGCGGUGGCUGAAGAACGAGCAGGAGCUUGAAUUUCAGUUUUCUUAUGAGGAAUUUUCCAGAAAAGAUAUCUUCACUGUGAAAUAACUAAAUAAAUGCCCACUCAGUACAACAAAAAUACCUGCUACAUGCUUCCUUCUGUAUGAAUACAUGAGACCUACCUUCAUUCAUGUUUCCUCUAUGAAGCUUUCCCUGCACUCCAAACACAGAGCUGAGACUUCCACCUAAUGUAGAAAGCUAGCACGAGCCGGCGCUGACAGAUGGAAGACUUGAGAUGUUACAAGAUUAUAUAUGGAAACACAAAAGGAGUGGAGUUGCUGGGUCAUAUGGCAAUUCAUUUGAGGAACUGAGAAGCUUAUUCCAUGGAGGCUGAACUGUUUUAUAUUCCCACCAGCAACGUGUAAGGUUCCAGUUUAUCUACAUCAUCACCAACACUUGCUAUUUUCCAUUUCAUUAAUGAUAGCCAUCCUAGUGGAUUUGAAGUGGUACCUUAUUAUCGUGGUUUUGAUUGCAUUCUCUAUUGACUAAUGAUAUCGAGCAUCUUUUCAUGUAUUUUUUGGUCAUUUGGUCAUUUUUCUUUUUUAAUUUUAAAAUUUUGAGACAGGCUCUCACUAUGUUGCCCAGGUGGUCUCAAACUCCUGGGUUCCAGCGAUGCUCAUGCCUCAGUCUCCCAAAGGGGUGGGAUUACAGGUGUGAGCCACUUUGCCCAGCCCAUUUGUAUAUCUCCUUUGGAGAAUAUCUAGGUUCUUUUGAAGGUAGCUGCAUAUAAACUAGCCAAAUUAACAGACUGUGGUUUUUAGAUGGCUUUCCAUAUCUACAAGAACUAUUUAGUUCUCAAAACUGGGAAGAAAUGUUUCAGAGGCAUCAUUAAUUCAUAAUCUAAAAAUUUAUCUUGGGUUUCCUUUUUUCCCCCAGAUUCUGUAUCCUCCAUAGUCCUAUUCAUGACAUGGGUCGUUCAUCUCUGUAUUCUAAACCCUCAAUGAACUGUAGACAGUAAUAAAUAUUUAUUGGAUGAA